UUUCAGCCUCAGCACCAGUGCCAUUAUGAUGGAUGUUUACAUCUCUUCAUUGAGAGCCAAUUAUCUUGCUUUUGUGUGAGGCCCAAAGAUCACUCAUGCUGCCUGCUUGCACAGAGCACUGUUGGAUCUAGCUGAAGGAAUUGUUUUCUCUAUCUCUGCACUACAAAGAGAUUCUGGUCAAUAAGGAUAUCAUCCAUUUGGCAGAAAACCCUACCAGUCACUCCAUAAAUUGCAACAGAAAGCUGGUGAUAUACCAAAUGCUAGUCAACUGAAACAAAAUCUUCUAUAAGCAUGGCAAAGAGAUUUCUAAUGUGAAAAUGUAAUCCUUCACUAAGUAUUCAUAUUAUGGGUCCUCCUUUGGCUAGUCCCUAGAAGAGAGGUUUACUGUAAUGACCAGCGAGAGCAGGUCAGUCUACCUCCUCAACUGUGGUACAGUUAUCCAUUACUGCCAGUGAUUGUGUUGACCCUCAGAAAAUACAGCUGCUGACAUCCAAAGGAGGAGAUGACCUGUUCAUAAUCUAAUGGAAAUGCCUUUUCCCCACUUCACACAUAAAUUAAGAAGAAAGUCAGAAUAAAGGUAGCUGAGGCAGACAGUCAUCUGAGAAAGAUCCUGUAGCUACAACACUCAAUGGCUCAGGGAUUUCCUGCCUUUCAGCAUGCAUCGACAGAUCACUUCAAUCCCACUGGGAGUACGAAUAUGCUUGCACCAGCCACGGGUCCCUUUGCGAGUCAGGUUCUUUGGCUGAUGUUCAUUCCCACAUUCCCUGGUAUGUAUUUGCCAGUUGCUCCAGGGUGACAUCUGUGCAGGAAGAUGCCUGCAGGUCUGAAGGACAGGCAGGUGCUUGGAGGCUGCUCCAAAGCGGAAUUUUGGAUGAAAGGAUGGAAAUUGUCUUCAGCUGCAAAGGGAAGGCUGCGAUGUGCAGUAGUAGAAAAGAUCUGCUGCCAGGAGACCUCACUAGAGCUGCUGCUGCUGCCGCCACUGCUGCAACCACAUACUUCUCCCUCUAGGCCCUGGUGUGCAUGUGCAGAGCAGCCGUAGGCAGUCCAGGAAUGCAGCUUUAAACGAGCCAUAGCCCUAAGAGACACAUUUCUUUGAGCAAAGAGCCACAUACGGUUUGAGAGUCGCGGGUUGGCCACCUCUGUUUUAAAGUGUCCUGGUUGGUCCAAGACUAGAGGUGUGACUGAAUAAAAAGAACGAGCUCUUUUUGUUAUGUGGUAUGCACAAGUAAAAAAAAAAAGUCUCUAUAUUUUGCUUGCUGAAGGUUGAACUAAAUGAAAUAAAAUAAGAACUUUAUAGUCUCACCAUAUGUCCUUUCCCACUACAAAUCCUCAACUCUGUCCAAUAUUUAAACUUUUUUUGAAUUCUAAAAAUAUUCAGUUAAGAUUUCUUCACUAUUGUACACAGGUUUUUCACUUUCUAUCCUUUUCACCUGCAGGCUCCAGAUAAAACCAGAACUACUAAUACAGAAGAGAAAAGUGUGGCCCAUGGUGGAGGGGAGACAUUGGGAGAGAGGGAAUGUAAAGGAAAGAUUUACUGCAUCCUAAGCUCCAUGAAACCUGCACAUCAGUGCAAGGACCUACACAUUCAGUUUGCAUUAUACACUAAAUGAUACUGACCCAAAGCAUUACAGUUCAACUUUUGGCAAAUGGUACCAAUCUGUAAUAUAAUAUACUAGUUUACAGUGGUGGCUAACUAUUCUUCUACCACUGAACAGGAAACUUUGAGUGAUAACCAGAGAACAGCCUUCUGCACAGUGCACAUUAACGUUGUACUGCUGAAAAAUCAGUAACAUUAUGGUUUGCAAACUGAAUAAUGCCAUAUUUAUUCCUCUGGGUCAAUGCUUUAAUAUGGGUUAUUGUAUCUAUCUCUAUUUUUUAACUAAAAGGUAAAAAAAGAAAUGUCCCACUAACUCUGGAUGUGCUACAGACCCAUAUAGCCCACCCUACUUCCAUUUGCAGAUAACAGGAAAAAACUGUCCCUAAGCAAAAAUUAGAGUUUUCAUCAGGUAAA
This is a non-coding RNA of Pelodiscus sinensis (Chinese soft-shelled turtle), 2011 nucleotides long. The record is from RefSeq and is a predicted model, not a curated record. Lineage: Eukaryota; Metazoa; Chordata; Testudines; Trionychidae.